GUUCCUGUGGUUGAAGUAACAACGGCGGCUUUUCAGGCCGUAGACCUUGGAGAAAAGCCAAGCGGGAAUU
Non-coding RNA from Pygoscelis adeliae (Adelie penguin), 70 nucleotides. The record is from the annotation of a RefSeq genome assembly. NCBI's taxonomy places the organism in Eukaryota, Metazoa, Chordata, Aves, Sphenisciformes, Spheniscidae.